AUAAGAGAACCCAUAUAUACUAAAACAAGAAUGAUUUAGAAAAGAUUAACAUAGUCCCUGCAUAAGGAUGAUGUGCAAAUUUGUGAAGCAUUCCACAUUUUU
Molecule: small nuclear RNA, 102 nt
Organism: Sarcophilus harrisii (Tasmanian devil)
Lineage: Eukaryota; Metazoa; Chordata; Mammalia; Dasyuromorphia; Dasyuridae
Source: Ensembl